RNAcentral lists this ribosomal RNA (253 nucleotides) under uncultured bacterium. RNAcentral describes it as "partial 16S ribosomal RNA". It matches the Rfam family "Bacterial small subunit ribosomal RNA", at positions 524 to 776 of the family's 1533-position model. The record is from RNAcentral.
UACAGAGGGGGCUAGCGUUGUUCGGAAUUACUGGGCGUAAAGGGCGCGUAGGCGGCCCGCUAAGUCGAACGUGAAAUCCCCGGGCUCAACCCGGGAACUGCGUCCGAUACUGGCAGGCUUGAAUCCGGGAGAGGGAUGUGGAAUUCCAGGUGUAGCGGUGAAAUGCGCAGAUAUCAGGAGGAACACCAGUGGCGAAGGCGCCGCUCUGGGCCGUGACUGACGCUGAGGAGCGAAAGCGUGGGUAGCAAACAGG